This 497-nucleotide ribosomal RNA is filed under the name uncultured bacterium. RNAcentral's name for it is "partial 16S ribosomal RNA". It matches the Rfam family "Bacterial small subunit ribosomal RNA", at positions 28 to 507 of the family's 1533-position model. The record is from RNAcentral.
GAUGAACGCUGGCGGCGUGCCUAAUACAUGCAAGUCGAGCGAACAGACGAGGCUCUUGCUCCUCUGACGUUAGCGGCGGACGUGUGAGUAACACGUGGAUAACCUACCUAUAAGACUGGGAUAACUUCGGGAAUCCGGAUCUAAUACCGGAUAAUAUAUUGCACCGCAUGGUUCAUUAGUGAAAGACGGUUUUGCUGUCACUUCUAGAUGGAUCCGCGCCGCAUUAGCUAGUUGUUAAGGUAACGGCUUACCAAGGCAACGAUGCGUAGCCGACCUGAGAGGGUGAUCGGCCACACUGGAACUGAGACACGGUCCAGAAUACUAAGGGAGGCAGCAGUAGGGAAUCUUACGCAAUGGGCGAAAGCUUGACGGAGCAACGCCGCGUGAGUGAUGAAGGUCUUCGGAUCGUAAAACUCUGUUAUUAGGGAAGAACAAAUGUGUAAGUAACUAUGCACGUAGUGACGGUAACUAAUCAGAAAGCCACGGCUAACUACGUG